RNAcentral lists this ribosomal RNA (446 nucleotides) under uncultured bacterium. RNAcentral's name for it is "bacterial SSU rRNA". It matches the Rfam family "Bacterial small subunit ribosomal RNA", at positions 331 to 793 of the family's 1533-position model. The record is from RNAcentral.
CCAGACUCCUACGGGAGGCAGCAGUGGGGAAUAUUGCACAAUGGGGGAAACCCUGAUGCAGCGACGCCGCGUGAGUGAAGAAGUAUUUCGGUAUGUAAAGCUCUAUCAGCAGGAACGAGACAAGACGGUACCUGAGUAAGAAGCCCCGGCUAACUACGUGCCAGCAGCCGCGGUAAUACGUAGGGGGCAAGCGUUAUCCGGAUUUACUGGGUGUAAAGGGAGCGUAGACGGCAUAGCAAGUCUGAAGUGAAAGCCCAAGGCUCAACCAUGGGACUGCUUUGGAAACUGUGCAGCUAGAGUGCUGGAGAGGUAAGCGGAAUUCCUAGUGUAGCGGUGAAAUGCGUAGAUAUUAGGAGGAACACCAGUGGCGAAGGCGGCUUACUGGACUGUAACUGACGUUGAGGCCCGAAAGCGUGGGGAGCGAACAGGAUUAGAUACCCUCGUAC